AGCGAACGCUGGCGGCGCGCCUAAUACAUGCAAGUCGAGCGAGAAGACGUAGCAAUACGUUUGUAAAGCGGCGAACGGGUGAGGAAUACAUGGGUAACCUACCCUCGAGUGGGGAAUAACUAGCCGAAAGGUUAGCUAAUACCGCGUACGCUCCUUGGACUUCGGUUCAGGGAGGAAAGCGAUACCGUGGGUAUCGCGCUCUUGGAUGGGCUCAUGUCCUAUCAGCUUGUUGGUGAGGUAACGGCUCACCAAGGCUUCGACGGGUAGCUGGUCUGAGAGGACGAUCAGCCACACUGGCACUGCGACACGGGCCAGACUCCUACGGGAGGCAGCAGUAAGGAAUAUUGCGCAAUGGGCGAAAGCCUGACGCAGCGACGCCGCGUGGGGGA
This 389-nucleotide ribosomal RNA is filed under the name uncultured bacterium. RNAcentral describes it as "bacterial SSU rRNA". It matches the Rfam family "Bacterial small subunit ribosomal RNA", at positions 29 to 408 of the family's 1533-position model. The record is from RNAcentral.